This is a non-coding RNA of Peromyscus maniculatus bairdii (prairie deer mouse), 1368 nucleotides long. NCBI's taxonomy places the organism in Eukaryota, Metazoa, Chordata, Mammalia, Rodentia, Cricetidae. The record is from RefSeq and is a predicted model, not a curated record.
GAAUGAGCUUCAGCAAGUCGAGGAGCCCACAGAGACGCGCGCUCCCUCCGCGUAUCAGGGAACAGGGCUGCAGAUGCCGCCAGAAGGAAAGAGUGCCAGGGCCCGCUCAUCCCCCACUGAUCUUACUGUGUCCCAGGGGCCCAGGGGCCGUUGGGUCUAAGCAUCUCUGACCCUAUGGUUCAGGGCUCCUCUGUUCCCAGGGUUCCCUUGUCCCUCCUUCAGUUAAUUCUCAGAUCCCCGAACUCUGCGGAAAACCUGACAGCCUGUGCCUUAGCGCCACUGCGUGGCGGUUCAUGGCGCUGAGGCAAUGGUCUGUGGCUGGCGUUCCCUCCGUCUAUGUCGCCCUCUGGCGUUUGCGCGACUGAGUAAUUCAAUGAAGGAAGCUAUGAGAAGAAUCAUAGGCAACAUCAGACAAUACGAUGUUGGCUUCCUUGUUUCUGGUCCUGUGGCGAGACAGUCUUGAGAGCAGGGAGAGUGAGGUGGAAGGAAGGUGCUUUGCCCACGGUGGACAGGAAGCAGGAAGAGAGAAAGAAGGGGCCAGGCAGAAAACAUACCCUUCAAGGGCAUGUUCCCCAUCACUGAAUUGCUCCAACUGCAUCCCACCUUCUGAAUCCCCACCAUCUCCCAGGAGCCCACAGAGCUAGGAAUGCACGCGCGCGCGGGUCAGUCCAGUCUGAAGUCAGAGGCCCCAGGAUCCCAUCAUCCUACCCUGGAGCCUCAUCUCUGGACACAGCUGCUUCAGCGGAGCAAGGCCAACAAUCUGGAUACAAGUUGUCGAGGCCAUGGCAAGACUCUCCUGUGAUGAUCCUGGUACAGAAGCUCGCUGAAAGAAUAUUAAAAGGAACCUGUCGUAUGGUUGGACUGGUGGUUGCAGUUAUAAUGGAAUCAUUGCAUUGACGGCUACAGCAGCAACCGCUGGAGGGAUUUCCACUUGACUGACAGACACAUCCAAGCAUCAGCAGCUGACUACAACCUUCUCCAGACUUCGAGCCCUGGACAUGCUGAAAGCUGAUGUGAACCAGUCCAGCCGAUGUGAAUGCUCCCUGUCUCUUCAGCUGGGUCAGCAAACCAGAUGCUUCUGAUGAACGCCCCAUUGCCUGAAUUCCCUGCUUGCCUUUGACUAGCCUUCCAGCCUUCCUGGGCCCUGACAACAACAUCCUAGUCUCAGUAGGAAGUAGUUACAGAGAGAGUGUCACUCCUUGUUCCCAACAGGCUAGAAAGUUAGAUCAAAAGGAAACUCCCUGGCACAGGCCACAAAAUAGCUACCUAUAGAGCCUAUUGGCAUAUCAGGAAAGGUGUCUGUUAAAACCAAGUAGGCCCAGAUCUAUCAACAGAAAGAUUCAUUAGCUGAAAUAGUUCUAUGGGUAA